RNAcentral lists this ribosomal RNA (427 nucleotides) under uncultured bacterium. RNAcentral's name for it is "partial 16S ribosomal RNA". It matches the Rfam family "Bacterial small subunit ribosomal RNA", at positions 355 to 774 of the family's 1533-position model. The record is from RNAcentral.
UAGGGAAUCUUCCGCAACGGGCGAAAGCCUGACGGAGCAACGCCGCGUGAGUGAAGAAGGUCUUCGGAUCGUAAAACUCUGUUAUUAGGGAAGAACAAAUGUGUAAGUAACUAUGCACGUCUUGACGGUACCUAAUCAGAAAGCCACGGCUAACUACGUGCCAGCAGCCGCGGUAAUACGUAGGUGGCAAGCGUUAUCCGGAAUUAUUGGGCGUAAAGCGCGCGUAGGCGGUUGUUUAAGUCUGAUGUGAAAGCCCACGGCUCAACCGUGGAGGGUCAUUGGAAACUGGAAAACUUGAGUGCAGAAGAGGAAAGUGGAAUUCCAUGUGUAGCGGUGAAAUGCGCAGAGAUAUGGAGGAACACCAGUGGCGAAGGCGACUUUCUGGUCUGUAACUGACGCUGAUGUGCGAAAGCGUGGGGAUCAAACA